RNAcentral lists this ribosomal RNA (424 nucleotides) under uncultured Lactobacillus sp. RNAcentral's name for it is "bacterial SSU rRNA". It matches the Rfam family "Bacterial small subunit ribosomal RNA", at positions 358 to 774 of the family's 1533-position model. The record is from RNAcentral. Lineage: Bacteria; Bacillati; Bacillota; Bacilli; Lactobacillales; Lactobacillaceae.
GGAAUCUUCCACAAUGGACGAAAGUCUGAUGGAGCAACGCCGCGUGAGUGAUGAAGGGUUUCGGCUCGUAAAACUCUGUUGUUGGAGAAGAACAGGUGUCAGAGUAACUGUUGACAUCUUGACGGUAUCCAACCAGAAAGCCACGGCUAACUACGUGCCAGCAGCCGCGGUAAUACGUAGGUGGCAAGCGUUGUCCGGAUUUAUUGGGCGUAAAGCGAGCGCAGGCGGUUUUUUAGGUCUGAUGUGAAAGCCUUCGGCUUAACCGGAGAAGUGCAUCGGAAACCGGGAGACUUGAGUGCAGAAGAGGACAGUGGAACUCCAUGUGUAGCGGUGAAAUGCGUAGAUAUAUGGAAGAACACCAGUGGCGAAGGCGGCUGUCUGGUCUGUAACUGACGCUGAGGCUCGAAAGCAUGGGUAGCGAACA